UUCUGGCGGUUAUUAUUUUAGUAUUGUGUCGGUUAUAACCGAUAAAAAUUCACUUUACACCAAAAGCUUUUCAACUUGUUGUUCUUUCAGAUUUCGUUUUCUUCCUCAUCUUCAUUUUACUUGUUUUCUCUUCAUCUUCAAUCUUUCUCUUCUUCUCCCCUCAUUUUGUAAGUUUUUCAAUUCUUUUGCUUCAUAUUUUAAAAUGUUAUAUUGAUUAAAAAUAAAUAAACAAAUGGUUUAAAUAUUUUUUUUUCACUCACGGUCCCGUUACCUAAUCUCUGAAUGUUUUUUUUUUUUUUUGUGAUUUUUUACACAUACUAUCUCGGAGUAUAUACAAACAUAUUUGACGGUUCGUUGAAACUAGUUUCGUAGAAUGCAUAUCCUAUCAAAUUGAUAGAUUUAACAAACACUUAAGAGU
RNAcentral lists this long non-coding RNA (418 nucleotides) under Malus domestica (apple). RNAcentral describes it as "long non-coding RNA (MDOM_LNC019880)". Lineage: Eukaryota; Viridiplantae; Streptophyta; Magnoliopsida; Rosales; Rosaceae. The record is from RNAcentral.